ACUACGGGAGGCAGCAGUGGGGGAUAUUGCACAAUGGGGGGAACCCUGAUGCAGCGACGCCGCGUGGGUGAAGAAGCGCCUCGGCGCGUAAAGCCCUGUCAGCAGGGAAGAAAAUGACGGUACCUGAAGAAGAAGCCCCGGCUAACUACGUGCCAGCAGCCGCGGUAAUGCGGAGGGGGCCAGCGUUAUCCGGAUUUACUGGGUGUAAAGGGGGCGCAGACGGCGAUGCCAGCAAGGAGUGAAAGCCCGGGGCCCAACCCCGGGACUGCUCUUGGGACUGCGUGGCUGGAGUGCAGGAGGGGCAGGCGGAAUUCCUGGUGUAGCGGUGAAAUGCGUAGAUAUCAGGAGGAACACCGGUGGCGAAGGCGGCCUGCUGGACUGCAACUGACGUUGAGGCCCGAAAGCGUGGGGAGCAAACAGGAUUAGAUACCCCAGUAGUC
RNAcentral lists this ribosomal RNA (440 nucleotides) under uncultured bacterium. RNAcentral describes it as "partial 16S ribosomal RNA". It matches the Rfam family "Bacterial small subunit ribosomal RNA", at positions 338 to 795 of the family's 1533-position model. The record is from RNAcentral.